RNAcentral lists this ribosomal RNA (497 nucleotides) under uncultured bacterium. RNAcentral describes it as "partial 16S ribosomal RNA". It matches the Rfam family "Bacterial small subunit ribosomal RNA", at positions 28 to 507 of the family's 1533-position model. The record is from RNAcentral.
GAUGAACGCUGGCGGCGUGCCUAAUACAUGCAAGUCGAGCGAACAGAUGAGGAGCUUGCUCCUCUGACGUUAGCGGCGGACGGGUGAGUAACACGUGGAUAACCUACCUAUAAGACUGGGAUAACUUCGGGAAACCGGAGCUAAUAUCGGAUAAUAUAUUGAACCACAUGGUUCAAUAGUGAAAGACGGUUUUGCUGUCACUUAUAGAUGGAUCCGCGCCGCAUUAGCUAGUUGGUAAGGUAACGGCUUACCAAGGCAACGAUGCGUAGCCGACCUGAGAGGGUGAUCGGCCACACUGGAACUGAGACACGGUCCAGACUCCUACGGGAGGCAGCAGUAGGGAAUCUUCCGCAAUGGGCGAAAGCCUGACGGAGCAACGCCGCGUGAGUGAUGAAGGUCUUCGGAUCGUAAAACUCUGUUAUUAGGGAAGAACAAAUGUGUAAGUAACUAUGCACGUCUUGACGGUACCUAAUCAGAAAGCCACGGCUAACUACGUG